This 272-nucleotide ribosomal RNA is filed under the name uncultured Latescibacterota bacterium. Its description in RNAcentral is "uncultured Latescibacteria bacterium partial 16S ribosomal RNA". It matches the Rfam family "Bacterial small subunit ribosomal RNA", at positions 1112 to 1382 of the family's 1533-position model. Lineage: Bacteria; Pseudomonadati; Candidatus Latescibacterota. The record is from RNAcentral.
UAGUUGCCAUCGAGGUAAAGCGUGGGAACUCGUGGGGAGACUGCCGGUGGAUAACCGGAGAGGCGGGAUGACGUCAAGUCCUCAUGGCCCUUACAUCCCGGGCUACACACGUGCUACAAUGGCAGGUACAGAGGGCUGCGAAGCCGCGAGGUGGAGACGAAAUCCCAGAAACCUGUCUCAGUCCGGAUUGAAGUCUGCAACUCGACUUCAUGAAGGCGGAAUCGCUAGUAACCGCGAAUCAGCAGGUCGCGGUGAAUACGUUCCCGGGCCUU